UAACAAGGAUUCCCCUAGUAACUGCGAGUGAAGCGGGAAAAGCUCAAAUUUAAAAUCUGGCGGCUUCGGCUGUCCGAGUUGUAAUCUGGAGAAGCGUUUUCUGUGCCGGACCGUGUACAAGUCUCUUGGAACAGAGCGUCAUAGAGGGUGAGAAUCCCGUCUUUGACACGGACUGCCGGUGCUUUGUGAUGCGCUCUCGAAGAGUCGAGUUGUUUGGGAAUGCAGCUCAAAAUGGGUGGUAAAUUCCAUCUAAAGCUAAAUAUUGGCGAGAGACCGAUAGCGAACAAGUACCGUGAGGGAAAGAUGAAAAGCACUUUGGAAAGAGAGUUAAACAGUACGUGAAAUUGCUGAAAGGGAAACGCUUGAAGUCAGUCGCGUCCGCCGGAACUCAGCCUGGCUUUUGCUCGGUGUAUUUUCUGGUGGACGGGCCAGCAUCAAUUUCGAUCGUCGGAGAAAGGCCUCGGGAAUGUGGCACCUUCGGGUGUGUUAUAGCCUGGGGUCGCAUACGACGGUUGGGAUUGAGGAUCUCAGCGCGCCUUUAUGGUCGGGGUUCGCCCACGUCCGCGCUUAGGAUGCUGGCGUAAUGGCUUUAAACGAC
RNAcentral lists this ribosomal RNA (598 nucleotides) under Steccherinum sp. 2 KUC20080606-23. RNAcentral describes it as "eukaryotic LSU rRNA". It matches the Rfam family "Eukaryotic large subunit ribosomal RNA", at positions 66 to 648 of the family's 3401-position model. The record is from RNAcentral. Lineage: Eukaryota; Fungi; Basidiomycota; Agaricomycetes; Polyporales; Steccherinaceae.